Molecule: transfer-messenger RNA, 360 nt
Filed under: Alphaproteobacteria bacterium
Lineage: Bacteria; Pseudomonadati; Pseudomonadota; Alphaproteobacteria
Rfam family: Alphaproteobacteria transfer-messenger RNA
About the family: Bacterial tmRNA, also known as 10Sa RNA or SsrA, is named for its dual tRNA and mRNA-like properties. Its role is to liberate the mRNA from a stalled ribosome. To accomplish this part of the tmRNA is used as a reading frame that ends in a translation stop signal.
Source: RNAcentral
CCCCUUUAAAUUUGUUUGAAUAAGGCUUAUAUUAAAGAUGUCAAGGAGACUUGACUAUAGUGAUAAACGUCUUUCGAAAUAGGCGUUACGGACCCGGGGGCGGAGCCCGGCACCUCCACCAUUUAUCUUUAUGGGGGUGAAUUAGGAUCGACGUGCGUAAUAAAGGGUAGAUUUUCACUCGGUAUGGUACCACCGUUAUCGGACUAAACAUUGUAAAUGCAAAAGCAAAUACAUACUCUGAUAUGGUUGCAAACUUAAAUGCUUGUAAUCUUAACGUUGAAAAGGUGGCAGUUGCUAACGCAGCUUAAUCUUUAAGACGAUCGCGGUCCGAGGGGCACCGGGCAACAGAAGCCCCUCACU